GGGCGAUUAGCUCAGGUGGUAGAGCACUUGACUUUUAAUCAAGUUGUCGAGGGUUCGAGUCCCUCAUCGCUCA
RNAcentral lists this transfer RNA (73 nucleotides) under bacterium. RNAcentral's name for it is "tRNA-Lys". It matches the Rfam family "tRNA". From Rfam's summary of the family: Transfer RNA (tRNA) molecules are approximately 80 nucleotides in length. Their secondary structure includes four short double-helical elements and three loops (D, anti-codon, and T loops). Further hydrogen bonds mediate the characteristic L-shaped molecular structure. tRNAs have two regions of fundamental functional importance: the anti-codon, which is responsible for specific mRNA codon recognition, and the 3' end, to which the tRNAs corresponding amino acid is attached (by aminoacyl-tRNA synthetases). tRNAs cope with the degeneracy of the genetic code in two manners: having more than one tRNA (with a specific anti-codon) for a particular amino acid; and 'wobble' base-pairing, i.e. permitting non-standard base-pairing at the 3rd anti-codon position. The record is from RNAcentral. RNAcentral also lists the same sequence under 2 other names.